ACGGGUGAGGAAUGCGUCGGAAUCUGCCUCUUUGUGGGGGAUAACGUAGGGAAACUUACGCUAAUACCGCAUACGACCUACGGGUGAAAGCCGGGGACCUUCGGGCCUGGCGCAGAGAGAUGAGCCGACGCCGGAUUAGCUAGUUGGCGGGGUAAAGGCCCACCAAGGCGACGAUCCGUAGCUGGUCUGAGAGGAUGAUCAGCCACACUGGAACUGAGACACGGUCCAGACUCCUACGGGAGGCAGCAGUGGGGAAUAUUGGACAAUGGGCGCAAGCCUGAUCCAGCCAUGCCGCGUGUGUGAAGAAGGCCUUCGGGUUGUAAAGCACUUUUGUCCGGAAAGAAAAGCCUGGGGCUAAUACCCUCGGGUUAUGACGGUACCGGAAGAAUAAGCACCGGCUAACUUCGUGCCGGCAGCCGCGGUAAUACGAAGGGUGCAAGCGUUACUCGGAAUUACUGGGCGUAAAGCGUGCGUAGGUGGUUUGUUAAGUCUGAUGUGAAAGCCCUGGGCUCAACCUGGGAACUGCAUUGGAUACUGGCUUACUAGAGUGCGGUAGAGGGGUGUGGAAUUCCCGGUGU
RNAcentral lists this ribosomal RNA (578 nucleotides) under uncultured Lysobacter sp. RNAcentral describes it as "bacterial SSU rRNA". It matches the Rfam family "Bacterial small subunit ribosomal RNA", at positions 102 to 676 of the family's 1533-position model. Lineage: Bacteria; Pseudomonadati; Pseudomonadota; Gammaproteobacteria; Lysobacterales; Lysobacteraceae. The record is from RNAcentral.